GAUCCUCCCCCCCCCUUGGAUGGGGUGAAUUAUUGCGGUGUUUUUUUCCUCCUCCCGGGGGCAACCACCCUAAAAAAAGGGGUUGUUUGGACAGCAUUCUUCCUGCUCCCCGCCCUCCCGCCCCCGGGCGGGUCGGCGCCCGCCGGAGGAUAACCAAACUCUGAUUUAACGACGUUUCUUCUGAGUGGUACAAGCAAAUAAUCAAAACUUUUAACAACGGAUCUCUUGGUUCUGGCAUCGAUGAAGAACGCAGCGAAAUGCGAUAAGUAAUGUGAAUUGCAGAAUUCAGUGAAUCAUCGAAUCUUUGAACGCACAUUGCGCCCGCCAGCAUUCUGGCGGGCAUGCCUGUUCGAGCGUCAUUUCAACCCUCAAGCUCUGCUUGGUGUUGGGGCCCUACAGCUGAUGUAGGCCCUCAAAGGUAGUGGCGGACCCUCCCGGAGCCUCCUUUGCGUAGUAACUUUACGUCUCGCACUGGGAUCCGGAGGGACUCUUGCCGUAAAACCCCCAAUUUUCCAAAGGGGACGCUCGGAUCAGGCAGGUCAUGUGCGCGCUGAAGUUCAGG
This 562-nucleotide ribosomal RNA is filed under the name Colletotrichum gloeosporioides. RNAcentral describes it as "eukaryotic LSU rRNA". The stretch from base 206 to 359 matches the Rfam family "5.8S ribosomal RNA". Lineage: Eukaryota; Fungi; Ascomycota; Sordariomycetes; Glomerellales; Glomerellaceae. The record is from RNAcentral.